RNAcentral lists this ribosomal RNA (501 nucleotides) under uncultured bacterium. RNAcentral describes it as "partial 16S ribosomal RNA". It matches the Rfam family "Bacterial small subunit ribosomal RNA", at positions 30 to 523 of the family's 1533-position model. The record is from RNAcentral.
AUUGAACGCUGGCGGCAUGCCUUACACAUGCAAGUCGAACGGCAGCACGGGUGCUUGCACCUGGUGGCGAGUGGCGAACGGGUGAGUAAUACAUCGGAACGUACCUUAUCGUUGGGGAUAACGCAGCGAAAGUUGCGCUAAUACCGCAUAAGCCCUGAGGGGGAAAGCGGGGGACAGGAAGGCCUCGAGCGAUUAGAGCGGCCGAUGUCUGAUUAGCUUGUUGGUGAGGUAAAAGCUCACCAAGGAGAGGACCAGUAGCUGGUCUGAGAGGACGAUCAGCCACACUGGGACUGAGACACGGCCCAGACUCCUACGGGAGGCAGCAGUGGGGAAUUUUGGACAAUGGGGGCAACCCUGAUCCAGCAAUGCCGCGUGAGUGAAGAAGGCCUUCGGGUUGUAAAGCUCUUUUGUCAGGGAAGAAACAGCAGCUCUAACACAGUCUGCGAAUGACGGUACCUGAAGAAUAAGCACCGGCUAACUACGUGCCAGCCGCCGCAGUAA